This is a non-coding RNA of Pelobates cultripes (western spadefoot toad), 744 nucleotides long. Lineage: Eukaryota; Metazoa; Chordata; Amphibia; Anura; Pelobatidae. The record is from the annotation of a GenBank genome assembly.
CAUACAUUAAUUUAAAAUUUGGGGAAGAUUUCAGUCACAUAUAUUCCAUGUUGGUGAAUUGAAAGUACAUUUGUAGGAAUAGGACAGAAGUUAUACUGUUCAGAUAGUGCAGGUUACAGACACACCGAGGGGAGGGAUGGUCAUAGCUCAGACAGUAUGGUGUUUAGAAUGAAUCAAGAACCGGUGCCAACAUAAUGAUCAGCUUGUGUGAGUUUUAGAAGGUGUUAAAAGAUAAAGAGAACACAGUGCUAAGUUUGUAUGGGUUUUAGAAGGUGUGAUGUUCCACAGAUGUGGGUCAUAAAACAUGCAGAAUGGGGAAGAAAGCAAACCUUUCAGCUAUGGUGGGUUAUGGAAGUUGUGUAGAGCUGGGCACAGAUGUAGAGAAGUGGUGUGACAAAAAGGCUCAGCUUGAACUGUUUAUAGAAGAUGUGAAGAGCUGGAGUGAGAAUAAUGCUUAGGUAAUGUAUUUUUAUCCUGCUUGUUUUAGCUCCUGAUUUUUCCCAAUAUAUCAUCAAUGUAUAGCGUGCAUGUUAACUCAAAAUAAUCUCAGCACGGGAGUCUUCAACCAUCCUGAUUUACUACUGCCAUCCCACAGUCUAUUUUCCUGUUCAGUUGAUUGUUAGUAAUUAAUAAUUAAUUAAUAAUGAGUUGUAAAAAAUGUAAUCCACCUAGCAUAUUCAUGUUAGAUAGAUAGAUAGAUAGACAGACAGACAGAUGAUAGAUAGAUAGAUAGACAGAUAGAUG